This 338-nucleotide long non-coding RNA is filed under the name Monodelphis domestica (gray short-tailed opossum). RNAcentral describes it as "lncRNA (ENSMODG00000044014.1)". Lineage: Eukaryota; Metazoa; Chordata; Mammalia; Didelphimorphia; Didelphidae. The record is from RNAcentral.
GUCCAGAGUUUUAGCUUGUCAAGAAUUUUCUGAUGGCAUCAUCCAGUGUGGUGGUUAUCCUUCCUGUUUUGGGUCAUCAACAAAUUCUGUACAGCUCCCAUUGCUAUCAACAGGGGUCCUGAUCAGAGGAUGAUAGUAGACUUGUGAUCUUCUGUGAAUUUAUGAACAGAGGAGGAAUCAUCAUAUGCUCUAAGAGAGCAGACAAAUCAACUGAUAUGGAUAUUUGAUUCCAAAUGGGAGAGAAGUUGUUAACCGUCAGGGCUGAAGUAUUUUGUCUGAAGGAAUUUUCCUUCUUUUGGAAGCCUCUGCUGUUUGGCUCAGCAUUUUCUCCUUUUUAA